RNAcentral lists this ribosomal RNA (253 nucleotides) under uncultured bacterium. RNAcentral's name for it is "partial 16S ribosomal RNA". It matches the Rfam family "Bacterial small subunit ribosomal RNA", at positions 524 to 776 of the family's 1533-position model. The record is from RNAcentral.
UACGUAGGGGCCAAGCGUUGUCCGGAAUUAUUGGGCGUAAAGAGCUCGUAGGCGGUUUGUCGCGUCUGCUGUGAAAACUCGGGGCUCAACUCCGAGCUUGCAGUGGGUACGGGCAGACUAGAGUGCGGUAGGGGAGACUGGAAUUCCUGGUGUAGCGGUGGAAUGCGCAGAUAUCAGGAGGAACACCGGUGGCGAAGGCGGGUCUCUGGGCUAUAACUGACGCUCAUGCACGAAAGCGUGGGGAGCAAACAGG